AAAGUCGUAACAAGGUCUCCGUUGGUGAACCAGCGGAGGGAUCAUUACAGAGUUUACAACUCCCAAACCCUAUGUGAACAUACCUCUUGUUGCUUCGGCGGACCCGCCCCGGCGUCCGGACGACCUAGCGUCGCCCGCGGCCCGGAUCCAGGCGGCCGCCGGAGACCAUCAAACUCUUUGUAUUAUUAGAAUCUUCUGAAUUCGCCGCAAGGCAAAACAAAUGAAUCAAAACUUUCAACAACGGAUCUCUUGGUUCUG
This 258-nucleotide unclassified non-coding RNA is filed under the name Ascomycota sp. Its description in RNAcentral is "partial contains small subunit ribosomal RNA, internal transcribed spacer 1, and 5.8S ribosomal RNA". The stretch from base 1 to 47 matches the Rfam family "Eukaryotic small subunit ribosomal RNA", at positions 1785 to 1831 of the family's 1831-position model. Lineage: Eukaryota; Fungi; Ascomycota. The record is from RNAcentral.